AAUCAACGCUGGCGGCGUGCCUCAGACAUGCAAGUCGAACGAUUAAAGCUCUCUUCGGAGAGUGCAUAGAGUGGCGCACGGGUGAGUAACACGUAAGUAAUCUACCUUCGAGUGGGGAAUAACGUCCGGAAACGGACGCUAAUACCGCAUAAUGCAGCGGCAUCGUAAGAUGACAGUUGUUAAAGAUUCAUCGCUUGAAGAGGAGCUUGCGGCAGAUUAGCUAGUUGGUAAGGUAAUGGCUUACCAAGGCUACGAUCUGUAACCGGUCUUAGAGGACGGUCGGUCACACUGACACUGAAUAACGGGUCAGACUCCUACGGGAGGCAGCAGUCGGGAAUUUUGGGCAAUGGGCGAAAGCCUGACCCAGCAACGCCGCGUGGAGGAUGAAGGCUUUAGGGUUGUAAACUCCUUUUGUGGGGAAAAGAAUGGAUGGUACCCCAAGAAUAAGUCACGGCUAACUACGUG
This 465-nucleotide ribosomal RNA is filed under the name uncultured bacterium. RNAcentral describes it as "bacterial SSU rRNA". It matches the Rfam family "Bacterial small subunit ribosomal RNA", at positions 32 to 507 of the family's 1533-position model. The record is from RNAcentral.